Molecule: ribosomal RNA, 466 nt
Filed under: Salmonella enterica subsp. enterica serovar Heidelberg
Lineage: Bacteria; Pseudomonadati; Pseudomonadota; Gammaproteobacteria; Enterobacterales; Enterobacteriaceae
Description: partial 23S ribosomal RNA
Rfam family: Bacterial large subunit ribosomal RNA
Source: RNAcentral
UUGGGUAGGGGAGCGUUCUGUAAGCCUGUGAAGGUGUGUCGUGAGGCAUGCUGGAGGUAUCAGAAGUGCGAAUGCUGACAUAAGUAACGAUAAAGCGGGUGAAAAGCCCGCUCGCCGGAAGACCAAGGGUUCCUGUCCAACGUUAAUCGGGGCAGGGUGAGUCGACCCCUAAGGCGAGGCCGAAAGGCGUAGUCGAUGGGAAACGGGUUAAUAUUCCCGUACUUGGUGUUACUGCGAAGGGGGGACGGAGAAGGCUAUGUUGGCCGGGCGACGGUUGUCCCGGUUUAAGCGUGUAGGUGUGUGUUCCAGGUAAAUCCGGUUCACUUUAACACUGAGGCGUGACGACGAGGCACUACGGUGCUGAAGCAACAAAUGCCCUGCUUCCAGGAAAAGCCUCUAAGCAUCAGGUAACAUCAAAUCGUACCCCAAACCGACACAGGUGGUCAGGUAGAGAAUACCAAGGCGC